RNAcentral lists this ribosomal RNA (107 nucleotides) under Klebsiella quasipneumoniae. RNAcentral's name for it is "23S rRNA. Bacterial LSU". It matches the Rfam family "Bacterial large subunit ribosomal RNA", at positions 2820 to 2925 of the family's 2925-position model. Lineage: Bacteria; Pseudomonadati; Pseudomonadota; Gammaproteobacteria; Enterobacterales; Enterobacteriaceae. The record is from RNAcentral.
AAGUCUCCUGAAGGAACGUUGAAGACGACGACGUUGAUAGGCCGGGUGUGUAAGCGCAGCGAUGCGUUGAGCUAACCGGUACUAAUGAACCGUGAGGCUUAACCUUA